Molecule: ribosomal RNA, 468 nt
Filed under: uncultured bacterium
Lineage: Bacteria
Description: partial 16S ribosomal RNA
Rfam family: Bacterial small subunit ribosomal RNA
Source: RNAcentral
GACGAACGCUGGCGGCGUGCUUAACACAUGCGAGGCGAACGGAAAGGCCCUGCUGUUGUGGGGUGCUCGAGGGGCGAACGGGUGAGUAACACGGGAGUAACCUGCCCUGGAGGGUGGGAUAACUUCAGGGAACGGGUGCUAAUACCGGAGAGGAGCUCCUGCUGCAGGGGGGGGGUUGGAAAGUUUGGGCUGGUGUGGCUGGAUGCGCGGCUAAUCAGCUUGUGGGUGGGGUAGUGGCUUAGGAAGGCUUUGGCGGGUAGCCGGCCUGGGAGGGUGACCGGCGCCCUUAGGCCUGCGAUACGGCCCAGUCUGCUAUGGGAGGCAGCAGGCGAGAAUAUUGCCCAACGAGCGGACGCCUGAGAAAGAAACGCCGCGGGUGGGAUGCAGGCCUUCGGGGUGAAAACCGCUUUCGCCUGUGACGAAGCGUGAGUGACGGUAAUGGAUAAAGAAGCACCGGCUAACUACGUG